This 339-nucleotide ribosomal RNA is filed under the name uncultured Pseudomonadota bacterium. Its description in RNAcentral is "bacterial SSU rRNA". It matches the Rfam family "Bacterial small subunit ribosomal RNA", at positions 29 to 351 of the family's 1533-position model. The record is from RNAcentral. Lineage: Bacteria; Pseudomonadati; Pseudomonadota.
AACGAACGCUGGCGGCGUGCCUAACACAUGCAAGUCGAGCGUGAAAGUUCCUUCGGGAAUGAGUAAAGCGGCAGACGGGUGAGUAAUACGUGGAUAAUCUUCCCUCGAGCUUGGGAUAACCCCGCGAAAGUGGGGCUAAUACCGGAUAAGACCACAUGGCAAAUGCUACGUGGUAGAAGGUGGCUUGUAUUUAUAUGAGCUAUCACUUGAGGACGAGUCCAUGGCCUAUCAGCUUGUUGGUGAGGUAAGAGCUCACCAAGGCUAUGACGGGUAGCUGGUCUGAGAGGACGACCAGCCACACUGGGACUGAGACACGGCCCAGACUCCUACGGGAGGCUG